Molecule: ribosomal RNA, 466 nt
Filed under: uncultured bacterium
Lineage: Bacteria
Description: bacterial SSU rRNA
Rfam family: Bacterial small subunit ribosomal RNA
Source: RNAcentral
GACGAACGCUGGCGGCGCGCCUAACACAUGCAAGUCGAACGAGCGAGAGAGAGCUUGCUUUCUCGAGCGAGUGGCGAACGGGUGAGUAACGCGUGAGGAACCUGCCUCAAAGAGGGGGACAACAGUUGGAAACGACUGCUAAUACCGCAUAAGCCCACGGCUCGGCAUCGAGCAGAGGGAAAAGGAGCAAUCCGCUUUGAGAUGGCCUCGCGUCCGAUUAGCUAGUUGGUGAGGUAAUGGCCCACCAAGGCAACGAUCGGUAGCCGGACUGAGAGGUUGAACGGCCACAUUGGGACUGAGACACGGCCCAGACUCCUACGGGAGGCAGCAGUGGGGAAUAUUGCACAAUGGGGGAAACCCUGAUGCAGCGACGCCGCGUGGAGGAAGAAGGUCUUCGGAUUGUAAACUCCUGUUGUUGGGGAAGAUAAUGACGGUACCCAACAAGGAAGUGACGGCUAACUACGUG